AACGAACGCUGGCGGCAUGCCUAACACAUGCAAGUCGAACGAGACCUUCGGGUCUAGUGGCGCACGGGUGCGUAACACGUGGGAAUUUGCCUCGGGGUAGUGGAAUAACUCAGGGGAAAACGUUGAGCUAAUAACCAUAUAAUGUCUUCGGACCAAAGAUUUAUCGCCCUGAGAUAAGCCCGCGUAGGAUUAGCUAGUUGGUGGGGUAAAGGCUCACCAAGGCGACGAUCCUUAGCUGGUCUGAGAGGAUGAUCGGCCACACUGGGACUGAGACACGGCCCAGACUCCUACGGAGGCAGCAGUGGGGAA
This 309-nucleotide ribosomal RNA is filed under the name uncultured bacterium. Its description in RNAcentral is "bacterial SSU rRNA". It matches the Rfam family "Bacterial small subunit ribosomal RNA", at positions 29 to 361 of the family's 1533-position model. The record is from RNAcentral.